This 523-nucleotide ribosomal RNA is filed under the name Cryptosporidium hominis. Its description in RNAcentral is "partial small subunit ribosomal RNA". The record is from RNAcentral. Lineage: Eukaryota; Apicomplexa; Conoidasida; Eucoccidiorida; Cryptosporidiidae.
AGGACUUUUUGGUUUUGUAAUUGGAAUGAGUUAAGUAUAAACCCCUUUACAAGUAUCAAUUGGAGGGCAAGUCUGGGGCCAGCAGCCGCGGUAAUUCCAGCUCCAAUAGCGUAUAUUAAAGUUGUUGCAGUUAAAAAGCUCGUAGUUGGAUUUCUGUUAAUAAUUUAUAUAAAAUAUUUUGAUGAAUAUUUAUAUAAUAUUAACAUAAUUCAUAUUACUAUUUUUUUUUUUAGUAUAUGAAAUUUUACUUUGAGAAAAUUAGAGUGCUUAAAGCAGGCAUAUGCCUUGAAUACUCCAGCAUGGAAUAAAAUUAAAGAUUUUUAUCUUUUUUAUUGGUUCUAARAUAARAAYAAUGAUUAAUAGGAAAAGUUGGGGGCAUUUGUAUUUUAACAGUCAAGGUGAAAUUCUUAGAUUUGUUAAAGAAAAACUAAUGCGAAAGCAUUUGCAAAGGAUGUUUUCAUUAAUCAAGAACGAAAGUUAGGGGAUCAAAGACGAUCAGAUACCGUCGUAGUCUUACCCAUAA